RNAcentral lists this unclassified non-coding RNA (251 nucleotides) under Hevea brasiliensis (rubber tree). The record is from RNAcentral. Lineage: Eukaryota; Viridiplantae; Streptophyta; Magnoliopsida; Malpighiales; Euphorbiaceae.
UUUAAAGUGGCGUUUUGUCUAAUAAGAUAAAAUCAAAUUAUGAAAGACCAAGUACGAAGAUAACACUGCAUAUGGAUAUGGUACUACAAGCAAACUAGAUGCCAAUAUUCAUAUGGUACUACAAGCAAAACACUAAGAUAUAAACCGCGCAAACAAUGAACACAACUAGAAGACUAAACUUCUGUUAUUCAUAAUGAUUUAUCUAAUAGCUAGCUAGCUAGAUAAUCAGUUGGCUGGUGGACGCUUGUGGG